UACUACAAACCCAUAUGUGGCAGCGAUGGCCAUACCUACAGCAACAUCUGCUCAUACUGUAUGUUUAAACGAAGUGCUACCAGUCCUCUCCAUAUUGUCAAAUAUGCAGCCUGUUGAAUUCAUAGAGGAGCACCUGGAGGUUUGCUGAUCUUCACUCUGCUUUGCACUUCACAAGCCCCUUUGCCCCACUGCUGACCCCUGCAUCCUUUUAAAUUUGAAAUAAACGUUUCCUUGUAGCAUGA
Polypterus senegalus (gray bichir) is the source of this 242-nucleotide long non-coding RNA. RefSeq lists it as uncharacterized. The record is from RefSeq and is a predicted model, not a curated record. The transcript is spliced from 2 exons. Lineage: Eukaryota; Metazoa; Chordata; Cladistia; Polypteriformes; Polypteridae.